CAAUAGCGUAUAUUAACGUUGUUGCAGUUAAAAAGCUCGUAGUUGGAUUUCUGGAGGGAGCGUCGGCCCGUAUUUACGAGUGCGUGACGUCUCUGUCCAUCCUUGCGGGAAGGCACGGCAUUGAUUUGUUGUGUCGGAUCGCAUCAUUUACUGUGAAAAAAUUAGAGUGUUCAAAGCAGGCUUUCGCUUGAAUACAUUAGCAUGGAAUAAUAAGAUAGGACUUUGGUGCUAUUUUGUUGGUUGAGCCUAAAGUAAUGAUUGAUAGGGAUAGUUGGGGGCACCUGUAUUGCGUUGUCAGAGGUGAAAUUCUUGGAUUUACGCAAGACAAACAGCUGCGAAAGCGUCUGCCAAGGAUGUUUUCAUUA
This 365-nucleotide ribosomal RNA is filed under the name uncultured eukaryote. Its description in RNAcentral is "partial 18S ribosomal RNA". It matches the Rfam family "Eukaryotic small subunit ribosomal RNA", at positions 592 to 975 of the family's 1831-position model. The record is from RNAcentral.